RNAcentral lists this ribosomal RNA (254 nucleotides) under uncultured bacterium. Its description in RNAcentral is "partial 16S ribosomal RNA". It matches the Rfam family "Bacterial small subunit ribosomal RNA", at positions 524 to 776 of the family's 1533-position model. The record is from RNAcentral.
UACGUAGGGUGCAAGCGUUAUCCGGAAUUAUUGGGCGUAAAGAGCUCGUAGGCGGUUUGUCGCGUCUGCUGUGAAAACUCGAGGCUCAACCUCGAGACGUCGGUUGAAACCGUAUGGCUAGAGUCCGGAAGAGGAGAGUGGAAUUCCCGGUGUAGCGGUGAAAUGCGCAGAUAUCGGGAAGAACACCCGUGGCGAAGGCGGCUCUCUGGGACGGUACUGACGCUGAGACGCGAAAGCGUGGGGGAGCGAACAGG